CCCCAGCAGCGAAACCCCACCCCUAAAAGAGGCAACCAAUGGGGGGACCGCCCGGCCAGCAGGGGGCGCUAGAGCGGGGGGGCAAUGGGGAGGUCUCAAUGGGAUCGUCCAAUGGGGUGGCCCCAAUGGGGUGACCUCAAUGGGGACGUAACCAAUGGGGUGACCUCAAUGGGGAUGUAACCAAUGGGGUGGCACCAAUGGGGUGACCUCAAUGGGGAUGUAACCAAUGGGGUGGCACCAAUGGACACGUAACCAAUGGGGUGGCCUCAAUGGAGAUGUAACCAAUGGGGUGGCCCCAAUGGACACGUAACCAAUGGGGUGGCCUCAAUGGAGAUGUAACCAAUGGGGUGGCACCAAUGGGGUGACCUCAAUGGACACGUAACCAAUGGGGUGGCACCAAUGGACACAUAACCAAUGGGGUGACCUCAAUGGGGACGUAACCAAUGGGGUGGCUCCAAUGGGGUGACCUCAAUGGGGAUGUAACCAAUGGGGUGACCUCAAUGGACAUGUAACCAAUGGGGUGGCCUCAAUGGAGAUGUAACCAAUGGGAUGUAACCAAUGGGGUGACCUCAAUGGAGAUGUAACCAAUGGGAUGACACCAAUGGACACGUAACCAAUGGGGUGGCCCCAAUGGAGAUGGCCUCAUGGAGAUGUAACCAAUGGGGUGGCCUCAAUGGGGUUACCUCAAUGGAGAUGCAACCAAUGGGAUGUCACCAAUGGGGUGACCUCAGUGGAGAUGUAACCAAUGGGGUGGCCUCAAUGGGGAUGUAACCAAUGGGAUGGCCUCAAUGGAGACGUAACCAAUGGGGUGGCCCCAAUGGAGAUGUUACCAAUGGAGAUGCCACCAAUGGGGUGGCACCAAUGGAGAUGACCUCAAUGGAGAUGUAACCAAUGGGGUGGCCUCAAUGGAGACGUAACCAAUGGGGUGGCCCCAAUGGGAUGGCCUCAAUGGAGAUGCAACCAAUGGGAUGUCGCCAAUGGGGUGGCUUCAAUCAGGGACGCCCCCAUCGGGUGCCCCAUGGCGAGGGGUCCCCCCAGGGGUGUGGGGCGCCCCAUAGCGGUGGCGGUGCCGAAUGUCCACUAUUUAUCUGCAUCAAUAAACACCUUAGAGCUGA
Molecule: long non-coding RNA, 1115 nt
Organism: Pezoporus occidentalis (night parrot)
Lineage: Eukaryota; Metazoa; Chordata; Aves; Psittaciformes; Psittacidae
Exons: 3
Source: RefSeq, a predicted model, not a curated record